Long non-coding RNA from Anneissia japonica, 1939 nucleotides. RefSeq lists it as uncharacterized. NCBI's taxonomy places the organism in Eukaryota, Metazoa, Echinodermata, Crinoidea, Comatulida, Comatulidae. The record is from RefSeq and is a predicted model, not a curated record. The transcript has 3 exons.
CAUGAAUGAAACAUUUUAUUUUCAAAUUACACUUUAAUUAAAAUAUUUCUUCGUCAUAAAUAAACAACUGUUCUACUACCUCAAGUCAAGUUUGCUGGUUGUUCAGAUUUUUAAAGUCAUUGGGUGCAUUGUGGGAAAUUUUCAGAUUUUCUCUGCAUGCAUGUAGGCCUCCUAGCUAGCUGCUGCUGCUCGACAGGGCUAUCAAUCAACAAGCAUACAAAACAUGGCGACUCGUUGGAGGAUUAGGAAUACUGGAUAAUUUGCUUAUUCUACAAAGAAAAAUAAAUUUUCUUCAGAAUAACUGUACUGGAGAAACCCUAAAAAGUUGUCAUCAACUGCACUGCCACCUCUUUCGGAAGAUGAUCCAAUUAAUAUUGCUUUUAAAUAUUAAGAAAAACGUACUCGCACGAUGUUUUGCUGAUACAGUACUCUAUCAGCAUUCUCAAGUGAACUGUGAUGUAAUUACAGCUUAUAUAACUAAAGUUGCUGGAGAAAAAUUCUUGGUGUAACAGAAGGAUUUGAACUGAGGAACUUGAAAGGCAAGCAUGCUAAUCACUAGUAAAGUGAUCAUUUUGAAGUUUUCCCUAUACUGUAUGCAAUUAAUCAUGUAAUUAAAUUCAUCAAACUGGUAAAUAGUAAUAUCCAUGUUAUCAUUACUCUUUUAAUUGUAAAAAUAAUAAUAACAGCUGAUUAAAUUGAAUGAUGUUCAGGAUUUCAUAUUGAAUGUUAGUUUGAUCUGUUUCUGUAUUGUAUUUAAUUCAAGUUUAUUUAAAACUCCACAAAUAUUGUGGCUUGUGGGCCAAAUUGUAUGUAAAUUACAAGUUGAAAUUGUAUUAAAAAAAAAGCAGCAAUAUAAAAUGGACAUAAAAAUAGCAACAUAUACAGUAAAAAGAAACAGAAACAGUACAAUAAAACACCAAACUGAGAAGGGAUAGAUGCUAGAAAACAGGCCUAAUGACUGACCAGGUAACAAUAUGUAAAUCAAUAUAAACAUUAAGAAUUAUAAUAAGCAAUAACCAUCUUAAGGUAAACAAAAUAAAAAUGAAAAGGACAGCAAGUAUGGGAAAAGCAUUGUAAACAGAAUUUUUAUUAGGUAUUAUUAUUUUACUAUUAUUAUUAUUAAUAUUAUUAUUAUUAUUGCCAUAAACAUAGUUAAGAAAAGGAAGAAACAAGAGGAGAUGAAUUAGACGAUUUGGAGAGGAAAUGCCGUAGGAACACUGAUAAUGUAAAUUCUUUCAAUGCAGAUACUGUAAUUCCUGUAACGUUUCAUUUUAUAUCCAUAAUAAAUAACAAUAAAUUAUUCAUGGCCAGAAUCCUGUUCGAAACAACAUGAUAAUUUCAACUCUUGUACAAACCUAAAUGAAUGAUAUUCGUUCAUUAUACAAUGAUAAAUCAUGUGUACGUGUGUGUGUGUCUGUGUGCGUGCAUACGUAAUGAGAUGCAUGUGUAUUGCAGCGUGCAUAUGUUGUCGGGAAGUAUUUGGGAUGUGGUGUGUUAGUGUUCUAAUUUGGUUUCUGCCGUUUUUUGACAGUAAAACAAAAUGUAAUAUUGUUAAAAAAUAGUAUACUUGAUGCGGAUUGAAUUACUCAUAAAUUGUGUUUUAAGUAUGUUUUUGUGCGUUUAAAAAUUUGUAUUUUACUUAGUGUUUUUGUUUUUAUGUUUGUGCACUAAUGUGAACUACCUAAAAAUAAGCAAAAAAAAAAUGAUUGUCAAGGUUUUGGUCUGAUUAUGGUAAAAGGUCACCGACAAGAUGUAAGGCCAUUUGGACAUGCACUCUUUGCUUCUGCCAUAUUUUAUUUUCUUUGCUAAAGCUCUCAUAAUGACCAGCAUAAAAGUUGUAGUAUAACUGAUUAACUAUUAUAUAUUUUCGUUUUAAUUUUAAUAUUAAAAAGAUUUCACUUGUAAAAUCUGUUUUGUAAAGUAUAGUAUUAGUAUGUAU